GCCACAUCAUGUUGAAACAUUGGUUCCCAUAUGAUCACCAAAGUUAAGCAACAUUGAGCCUGAUCAGUACCUAGAUGGGUGACCAUUUGGGAAUAGCAGAUG
Acanthosepion pharaonis is the source of this 102-nucleotide non-coding RNA. The record is from the annotation of a GenBank genome assembly. Lineage: Eukaryota; Metazoa; Mollusca; Cephalopoda; Sepiida; Sepiidae.